AGUGAACGCUGGCGGUAGGCCUAACACAUGCAAGUCGAACGGCAGCACAGUAAGAGCUUGCUCUUACGGGUGGCGAGUGGCAGACGGGUGAGGAAGACAUCGGAAUCUACUUUUUCGUGGGGGAUAACGUAGGGAAACUUACGCUAAUACCGCAUACGACCUACGGGUGAAAGCAGGGGAUCUUCGGACCUUGCGCGAUUGAAUGAGCCGAUGUCGGAUUAGCUAGUUGGCGGGGUAAAGGCCCACCAAGGCGACGAUCCGUAGCUGGUCUGAGAGGAUGAUCUGCCACACUGGAACUGAGACACGGUCCAGACUCCUACGGGAGGAAGCAGUGGGGAAUAUUGGACAAUGGGCGCAAGCCUGAUCCAGCCAUACCGCGUGGGUGAAGAAGGCCUUCGGGUUGUAAAGCCCUUUUGUUGGGAAAGAAAAGCAGCAGGUUAAUACCCCGCUGUUCUGACGGUACCCAAAGAAUAAGCACCGGCUAACUUCGUG
RNAcentral lists this ribosomal RNA (492 nucleotides) under uncultured bacterium. RNAcentral's name for it is "partial 16S ribosomal RNA". It matches the Rfam family "Bacterial small subunit ribosomal RNA", at positions 29 to 507 of the family's 1533-position model. The record is from RNAcentral.